This 526-nucleotide ribosomal RNA is filed under the name Thalassiophysa hyalina. Its description in RNAcentral is "eukaryotic LSU rRNA". It matches the Rfam family "Eukaryotic large subunit ribosomal RNA", at positions 43 to 651 of the family's 3401-position model. Lineage: Eukaryota; Bacillariophyta; Bacillariophyceae; Thalassiophysales; Thalassiophysaceae. The record is from RNAcentral.
UUAUUAAGUGAAGGAAAAGAAACUAACAAGGAUUGGCGUAGUAACGGCGAGUGAAGUGCCAACAGCUCAUAAUGUCAAUUGAUGCAAAUCAAGUUGUGGUAUGUACGUUUUCUCGAUAGCAUCAGAUGGAAGUUCCUUGGAAUGGGAUAGCAUGGAGGGUGACACUCCCGUACCAUCUGUGGCGGAAGAGAGGAUGAUUGAGUCGAGUUGUUUGAGAUUGCAACUCUAAGAGGUGGUAAAUUUCAUCUAAAGCUAAAUAUUAGGCAGAAACCGAUAGCGUACAAGUACCGUGAGGGAAAGAUGCAAAGCCGCGCGAAAGCGCUGUUAAAGAGUACCUGAAGUUGCUGAGAUGGAAGCAAAGGAAAUCAGUGUUGGCUUUACUUCAUUUUCUGCCUUGCUUGCAAGGUGGACACUGUAGUUGGCUCUGCAUGGCUUGGUUGAGAUUUGAGCAGGACUAGGAGCAGAGUUGAUGUUCCCCGGUUGCUGUGUACCCACCAAGACCAGCAAAAUGGUUUUCUUUUUCCCG